AGCGAACGCUGGCGGCAGGCUUAACACAUGCCAGUCGAGCGGGCAUCCUUGUGGUGUCAGCGGCAGACGGGUGAGUAACGCGUGGGAACGUGCCCUUCGGUUCGGAAUAACUCAGGGAAACUUGAGCUAAUACCGGAUACGCCCUUUUGGGGAAAGGUUUACUGCCGAAGGAUCGGCCCGCGUCUGAUUAGCUAGUUGGUGAGGUUAUGGCUCACCAAGGCGACGAUCAGUAGCUGGUCUGAGAGGAUGAUCAGCCACACUGGGACUGAGACACGGCCCAGACUCCUACGGGAGGCAGCAGUGGGGAAUAUUGGACAAUGGGGGCAACCCUGAUCCAGCCAUGCCGCGUGAGUGAUGACGGCCUUAGGGUUGUAAAGCUCUUUUCUCCGGGACGAUAAUGACGGUACCGGAGGAAUAAGCCUCGGCUAACUUCGUG
RNAcentral lists this ribosomal RNA (436 nucleotides) under uncultured bacterium. RNAcentral's name for it is "partial 16S ribosomal RNA". It matches the Rfam family "Bacterial small subunit ribosomal RNA", at positions 29 to 507 of the family's 1533-position model. The record is from RNAcentral.